Molecule: transfer RNA, 75 nt
Filed under: Rhodomicrobium vannielii ATCC 17100
Lineage: Bacteria; Pseudomonadati; Pseudomonadota; Alphaproteobacteria; Hyphomicrobiales; Hyphomicrobiaceae
Also listed under: 3 other names
Description: tRNA-Val (CAC) (tRNA-Val-CAC-1-1)
Rfam family: tRNA
About the family: Transfer RNA (tRNA) molecules are approximately 80 nucleotides in length. Their secondary structure includes four short double-helical elements and three loops (D, anti-codon, and T loops). Further hydrogen bonds mediate the characteristic L-shaped molecular structure. tRNAs have two regions of fundamental functional importance: the anti-codon, which is responsible for specific mRNA codon recognition, and the 3' end, to which the tRNAs corresponding amino acid is attached (by aminoacyl-tRNA synthetases). tRNAs cope with the degeneracy of the genetic code in two manners: having more than one tRNA (with a specific anti-codon) for a particular amino acid; and 'wobble' base-pairing, i.e. permitting non-standard base-pairing at the 3rd anti-codon position.
Source: RNAcentral
GGGCACGUAGCUCAGCGGUAGAGCAUUCGCUUCACACGCGAAGGGUCACAGGUUCGAUCCCUGUCGUGCCCACCA